This 3288-nucleotide long non-coding RNA is filed under the name Homo sapiens (human). RNAcentral's name for it is "HSALNT0305701". Lineage: Eukaryota; Metazoa; Chordata; Mammalia; Primates; Hominidae. The record is from RNAcentral.
CUUAGCACCUCAACAUAUCAAUUUUGGGGAAAUACAAUUCAGUUCACAGUGCAUAGAUAGAUAUUAAUUGAUAUUAUCAAAAGAAACCAUGGGCAGAUAAACCCAAAACCAAACUGUUUUAAUGGUUAUCUAUUGGGAAGAAAAAGAAACAGGGUGAACGGGAAGUUACAGAAGCAAGAUUUCUGUGACUGUAACUGGAUAAAUAGAGAGUUUGGGAGGACGAUAAGUGUUUUAUGUGAUUUUUAAAAAUUAAAGUAAACUGAAAUGAAUGAGUCUUCCUGCAUAUAAAGUGUGUGGCAUAACCACAUAAAGCAAACAAUUACUUAAAGUGGCUUUAAAACGCAGCAUUUUGACUAUACAUCCCAAGUGAGAGAUAUGCUAUGGACAAUAAAAAAAAGGAAAAGAAAAAAGGAAAGAAAUCAUAAAUGGCAUUCAGUAGCCAUAUAUUAGUAUUGACAUUUUUAUUAAAUUACUAUGUUUCCAUCAUUAGGAACCAUAAUUUUCAGUAUAAAAAUGACAUAGCAUAAAAUCAAGGAAGUUUAAGUAAAAAUCUUGUAAUCUUAAAAGUGAAUUGGAAAUUGCAGUAUGAACUCACAUUGUGUUUUACUCUUUAAAAAAUACAUAUUUUCUAGUUCUGUCCACUGAAAAGACCCAGAAGCAAUGAAAACCCAGUAACAAUGAGCACACUUCCACGGCUGAACUCUCUAGAUAACAUUUACCAAUGAAAUUGGCUGAUUCUAAGUCUAGGGCAAAAAAUGUACAAAAGGAGACUGGAUACAAGUCUCUUAUUGUACCAGAAAGUGAAGGAGAAAUCAAAGACUAAUGAGGUCACGUUAAAGUGAUACAGGACGACACAGGGCCUGCCUGCAGCAGCUGGUCAAUAAUGAAGGGAUUAAUCCAUGACUGCAAGACUCGUGGGAAGGAGGGAGUGGGGACUGCAGGGAGGGUCCUAGUAAAAGCAGGGUGGGCCUCGAUGAGCACAGCAUGGACAGUGCGAUUUAAAUCCCAUCGCUUGUGGGCAGGAGGAGUGAGGAUGCCAGAACCUAGUUAUCCCCCACCAUCCCACGCUCUCCCAGGAGGCGGCGGCAGGAAGUGCAGUCUACAGUAAGGGAAAGCCGCCGGAGCUGGAGACAGGCUGGAAAGAGCAGGUAACAGCCCACAAGGAGCGGGGGCCCUGGCUGUCAGACUCAACUUGCAGGACCAUCAAGUGCAGGUGUGGUUCAAGAACCGGGGCCGCUUGCUCUGCGGUAGCAACGGCACAUAACCGCAGCGAUGACCAGGGCAGCCAAGCCAGCAGCCGGGACCCCGGGAUGCUCUUGGCACAUGAUCCGACUCCCCUGCCUUUGCGGGUCCUGUACUCCCGCGAGGUCCAGGAUUGUGCAGCCCCUCCCCAACCGGCCGUUGGGAAUCUUCGCAGCAGCAGAACCCGCUGCCUCCAGGUCCGACCAGACCUGCAUAGGUAGAGAGUCCCCGCACAGGGCGGCCAGCAGAGCUACCCAGCUGCCCCAGGGCCUCGGGACCCCUGGGCCUGGGACCCAGGCCAGACCCUGACUCAUUCGGUGAUCUCACAGGACUCCUCCCACCCCAAGACCCUUUCAGGGACCCUGCCUCGAACUCCACGACAUGGGAGGCAGGGGCGGGCCUUUUGCAGGGGAAGGACUCCCCCAGCAGGACGUUUACUGAAUCUGGAGGGAGUCGCCCUGCAGAUAUCCCGCGGAAGCCGGAGGAGACCCAGCAAUUCCAUUUUGGAAAAUUUAUCCUGAGGAAAUAAAUAAAGAUGUAAACAGAGAAUAACUUACAGAUGUGACGUUUGUGAUCGUUAAAACUGGAAACAGCGCAAGAGUGGACGAUAGGGGAUGAGAGAGCCACACAGCGCAUAGAAGAUGAUCAGUCUGAAGAGAGGGUUUUCAGACAUGCAAUUAACUGCUAUUCACUGUACUUCAUUUUAACUGCAAACUAGCAGGGGAGUCAUGAUUCUACCUUUUUGGAAAUGACCCUCUAGCAGUUUUAUUGGUCCUAUGAGAUACACAGUAGAUUCACCAGCCAGAGCCAGAUGAGCUGCACAGUUGCCAAAGGGAACUUCAGAUGCCACCAGAGCCUCAGCUCUGUCCUCCCUCACCUCCCAAGGUGACUUCCAAGCAGCCACAGAACUUUAAUUUUACUUACUCUCUGUUUCUCUAGUUUUAUUUUUCUAAUCUUUACUGAAUUUGUGUCUGUGGUUUUAUUUCUGGUUUAUUCCUGACUAUAAGUUAUUCCCUAUUCUUGACAACAGUGAUUGAGAAUUUGGUUUUUGGCCUGACCAUUUAGUCAUCUCUGUAGAUGGAUGACACAGAUCUAAUUCCUUUCAAGUGAGAGACAACAGGAAAUCCGGUUUGUUGGUCCUUUCUUGUUUGUUUAUUUUGAGCUCCAGUCAGUUAGAAAUUUAGUGCCCGCUGCAAAGCACAGCUCUUUGAGACUUGGGAUUGGUAAGAGGGUGUGUUGCUUACUUCUGGCCUGUGGCUGAAUUUGCAGGGCCAAAGCCAAAAUCUCUCCAUAUGUCUGUCAUCUGUGAUCCAUGUGUCUGCAAGUCUAUAACUGAGAAAAGCCUUGAUUCCGUGAUAUGUGAGUGUGAAAUAAAUUAAUAAAUUAGUUAUGUCUCUUAAAUCAAAGGAGCUCUGUUCUUACUAGUUUAUAGGAAAAAAGGCACUUAUAUAUCUUAUAUAUCUCAUAUUUCUAGCUUCUAGUGCUUUCAAUGUGUUAGGCUUUUUAAAAUAUCCUUCAUACAGAAACUGCUACCUUAAAUACAUUUUAUAAAACCAAGUUCCUGUAACUAAGGUAAAUCUGUGGCAAGUCAAACUAGCUUAAUAAUUUUGGUUUUUAAAAAACAGAUUGGUCUUGUCUUUGAUUUACAGUGUUAAGUAUAAUUCAAUUGUGUAUUUGAUCAAAUCUCUCAUGAAGAGAAUAAUCUGGUCUUCUUAAAUAGUUUAUCAAAAAGAUAACAUUAGUCUAAUACAAUGUCACUAUUAUGAAAACUGAAUAUUGGUAUUACUCUAAAUUGAAUCACUAUUUAGACACAUCCGUUACCUCAACCUAUGUUUUGUAGUAUAAUUUAUCCAAUUAAAUAAAUGUCCAAGAUCUUUAGAUAACUUAGAACCUGGAAUCUUCAGAUAAAUCAGAACCUGACCCUGAAUGGAGUUAAUUAAUAGAUAAUCAUCAGAUACCUAGAUAAACGAAGUAGGAUAUAACACUAAAACAUGGAUUGCUAAGCCUACUUUUAGGCUUAUCCACUUUUGCUCCUUAUUUUUAUAU